Molecule: long non-coding RNA, 901 nt
Filed under: Citrus maxima (pomelo)
Lineage: Eukaryota; Viridiplantae; Streptophyta; Magnoliopsida; Sapindales; Rutaceae
Description: long non-coding RNA (CMAX_LNC001042)
Source: RNAcentral
UUUUUUCGGAAAUAACGACAAACCUGCAAGGGCAGUCAAGCCAUUUCACUGAUUCCCCUGCUUUAUUUUUGUGAAAAUAAGGCGGGGAUUUAAUUAACCGACUCUCGGCAUAUCCUCCACGUAUCAACUGCAUGGUGUCAAGAUGCCACAGUCCAACAGCGACCACUCGGAGCCUGAGGUGUAAGGAAAGAAAGAGAAUGGUCCGUCGCGAACGUGGCCGUCGAGCGAGGGCCCCAGUUUACGCUCGUGUGAGGUGUGCUUGCUUGUUGGGGCAGAAUUUUUUCUUUUCUUUUAUUUAUUUAUUUAUUUUUUUUACAGAAACGUUUUGGGAGAAUAAAAAUCGAAUUGAUGAUGAAAUGAAAUGAACCUACUGUUGUCUGUUGACGGUGGUGGUGGUGGUGUUGUUAAGCUGCCCCAUGUUAGUGGACCCCAUAGGAGGAAGGGAGGGGAACGUGGGGCCCAUGACUGUUUUAUUGCGGUUUCCCUGCUUUUGACGACGUUUGUCUCCUUAUUUAAACCGGGGUGUCUGUGUACGGACAAGUGGGUGACCGAUGGUCCGAUCUGAUUCUCUGCUCUUAUCUAAUAUUAUUUGCAUUCAGUGCGGGGCUUCUUAUUUUGAUUUUUUUUUUUUAAUCUGUCAGAUUUAAUUAUCUUUGUUGUUAAGAGUUUAAGCGAUCUGGUGCUGAUUAAGGCCAAUAUCAUUAUAUUGGGUCUUGUAUGGGUAAAACUAACCCAAAACGAAAUGGUGGUGUUGAUAUUUUUAGAUGACAGAGUUCCCUUAACCGGCUGCAUUUUUGCCAGCGAUAUUUGAAUGCAUAUAUUCACAAAAUAAACUUAUAUUUUCUGGCACUCUGCCGCGUGAAUGUGCCAAAAUUAAAGGAAUGGGAACGCUGGAAAUUUG